UCUAAUAAUACUUAAUUGGAAAGAACACACAAAAGUACAUUCUGUCUCUGAAGAAGCCUCUGAUGCUGGGUCUCCAUACUUAGUUACUCAUUGCCACCUGAGGCAAGAUUCUUAGGAAAUUAAUACAACGCUCAGAAGCAAGGAGAAGCUCCAGUUCCUCAUGUGCCACAUUGAACAACAGCAUAAUGCUGCAACUAGCUAGAUGGAGCAGUGAAGUCUGAGGAGUAGACCUAAAUUUCACAACAUUGUGAUAAAUACGAGAUUUAGACUCGGCAGGAAUCCCAGAUGACUAUAAAGGAGAAAGUGACUGCCAUUGAAUGACACCCCUGAGUGCUCUUGGAAUAAAUCCAAUAUUGAGUGUCAAGCACAGAAGAAAAGCAGGAAACAAUGUUGCUUUUAUAGUGAAACCAGAUAAUUUAAAGAUAAAUAGAGAAACUAGACCCUAACAUAACUAUCAUAUACUAAAAUCCAAUCAAAAGUUAAUAAAUUUUGGAAAAGCAA
This is a long non-coding RNA of Pipra filicauda (Wire-tailed manakin), 501 nucleotides long. RefSeq lists it as uncharacterized. The record is from RefSeq and is a predicted model, not a curated record. NCBI's taxonomy places the organism in Eukaryota, Metazoa, Chordata, Aves, Passeriformes, Pipridae. The transcript is spliced from 3 exons.